CCCUAGCCCCGAUAGAAGUGGAAAUCCUUUUGUGGCGGGGUUCGCCACAAAAGAUUGGAAAGUAUAGCGGGAUUAGCU
This 78-nucleotide small RNA is filed under the name Flavobacterium sp. 81. RNAcentral's name for it is "Flavo-1 RNA". It matches the Rfam family "Flavo-1 RNA". The record is from RNAcentral. RNAcentral also lists the same sequence under 1 other name. Lineage: Bacteria; Pseudomonadati; Bacteroidota; Flavobacteriia; Flavobacteriales; Flavobacteriaceae.